AGCAAGCAAGUGAUAACGAAGAAUAAGAAGAUUCAAUAAUCGAUUAGAUGAGAAGAAUAAGAUAAAUAUAUAGAUACAUCAAAUUGGGUUUUUUCUAAACUUUUUAAUCUUAUUAUUCAUCUGGAUUUCAAUCUUUAAUGGUGGAAAACGAAGGUUGUCUAUUCAAACGAUAUGAUUUAGUCGAUUAAAGUGACGAUUAUCGGUCUUCCUGUAUCUGGUUUGACAUGAAUGAAUUUAAUUACAAAUGUGCUAGAAAAUUGUUAAUGGAGCGGAUGGAAGUUGUCUUUGAAAUCCUAGUGCAGAACAUUAUGUGAGCCUAAUGUGUGAAGUUAAUUCUGGAUGAAAUAAGGAUACCGCUGAAGUCAUGAGGAAAUGAAACAAAGUUACAGUAUGGGGAAGUUCACCGGUGGUUGGAACUAAAUUAGCCUACAUAUGAUGUUGAUUUGGCGGUGGUACAUAUCAAUACGUACUGGGUUUUUACUCGAUACAUAUCCAUAUGUAUUGUAGUUUCACUUGGUACAAGUCGAUAUAUACUGGUUUUCAAGUACAUGUUCGAAACCAAGAAGACAUUCCUAAACAUUAUGAGACAUCCUAAAGAGUUAAGAAGUACAUUUGGUUCUUGAGAGAGAGAGAGACAGUUGUUGCAAGUUCUCUAGUAAAUGAAUGUAUUGUUCGCCUAAAGCCAAACAGUGGAAGGAGGAUUUAUCGAUCCAUGCAGGCUUGAUGAGUACCGAGGAAGAUGCAGUUCUUCCACCCAUCUGAGUCAGGCCUCAACCAGGAAGGCGAAGAAGAAUUGCAUCAAAGUGCAUGAGAGAAGAGUAAAAACCAUGUUAUAUUUCAAAUUGUGGUUUGAAAAAGCUCAAAUUCAAUAAAUAACAAUAACUGUAGCUAUGGACGUUGGAGAUACAACAAACAAGUCAUUGAGGUUAAAGAAUUUGCAGGCAUCAAGGAUGGGAGAGACAGGUGGAAUUAUGUCAUCAACUUGAAGAGUCUGAUACUCAGUACAUAUCAAUAUGUACUGAAGUUAUCACUCAACACGUAUCAAUAUGUACUAAAGUUGGCUAAGUUAUAUUUCAGGCAUAUCAAUAUAUACCACGCUUACAUAAUAUGUACUAAAGUUGGUUGAGGGAUAUUUGUGGCAUAAUUUUCUUUACGCCAGGUUUUACAGUACAAGAAAAUAUGUAUUGCCAGUAUAUAUGUCUCCAUACUCUUUUCUUAGUCUUUUAUGCUUAGUUGAUACUAGUAUGUAGCAGUCUU
Papaver somniferum (opium poppy) is the source of this 1257-nucleotide long non-coding RNA. RefSeq lists it as uncharacterized. Lineage: Eukaryota; Viridiplantae; Streptophyta; Magnoliopsida; Ranunculales; Papaveraceae. The transcript is spliced from 4 exons. The record is from RefSeq and is a predicted model, not a curated record.